RNAcentral lists this long non-coding RNA (214 nucleotides) under Elaeis guineensis (African oil palm). Its description in RNAcentral is "long non-coding RNA (EGUI_LNC009296)". The record is from RNAcentral. Lineage: Eukaryota; Viridiplantae; Streptophyta; Magnoliopsida; Arecales; Arecaceae.
AAGUCAAAAUAUGUGAUGCUUCUAAAUGUAAAAGCUUAAAAUAAGUAAAAAAAAUUACUAAUAGAAUUAUCUGAUAUAAUGGCUGGAACAACAAGCUCAGUUGAUCGCACAACUAUAGAUCUCGAAGAAUCUUCACGACUAUCUCACAGACAGCAUCUUGGAAGCUCUGAGGUUGCUAGCUCAGAAGCCUCUGCAUGACCUCCUCUAUGUGUGC